RNAcentral lists this ribosomal RNA (497 nucleotides) under uncultured bacterium. RNAcentral describes it as "partial 16S ribosomal RNA". It matches the Rfam family "Bacterial small subunit ribosomal RNA", at positions 28 to 507 of the family's 1533-position model. The record is from RNAcentral.
GAUGAACGCUGGCGGCGUGCCUAAUACAUGCAAGUCGAGCGAACGGACGAGAAGCUUGCUUCUCUGAUGUUAGCGGCGGACGGGUGAGUAACACGUGGAUAACCUACCUAUAAGACUGGGAUAACUUCGGGAAACCGGAGCUAAUACCGGAUAAUAUUUUGAACCGCAUGGUUCAAAAGUGAAAGACGGUCUUGCUGUCACUUAUAGAUGGAUCCGGGCUGCAUUAGCUAGUUGGUAAGGUAACGGCUUACCAAGGCAACGAUGCAUAGCCGACCUGAGAGGGUGAUCGGCCACACUGGGACUGAGACACGGUCCAGACUCCUACGGGAGGCAGCAGUAGGGAAUCUUCCGCAAUGGGCGAAAGCCUGACGGAGCAACGCCGCGUGAGUGAUGAAGGUCUUCGGAUCGUAAAACUCUGUUAUUAGGGAAGAACAUAUGUGUAAGUAACUGUGCACAUCUUGACGGUACCUAAUCAGAAAGCCACGGCUAACUACGUG